AUACGGAGGAUCCGAGCGUUAUCCGGAUUUAUUGGGCUUAAAGGGUGCGCAGGCGGCCAUUUAAGUCAGCGGUUAAAUCGUGGGGCUCAACCCCAUUCUGCCGUUGAUACUGGGUGGCUUGAUUGCGGUCGGGGUUGGCGGAAAUCGUUGGGUAGCGGGUAAAUGCAUAGAUAUGACGAAGAACACCGAUUGCGUAGGCAGCUGACCAGAUCGCAAAUGACGCUCAUGCACGAAAGUGCGGGGAUCGAACAGGAUUAGAUACCCUGGUAGUCCGCACAGUAAACGAUGAAUACUUGUUUUCGGCGAUAUAAUGUCGGAGGCAAAGCGAAAGCGAUAAGUAUUCCACCUGGGGAGUGCGCCGGCAACGGUGAAACUCAAAUGAAUUGACGGGG
This 392-nucleotide ribosomal RNA is filed under the name uncultured bacterium. RNAcentral describes it as "partial 16S ribosomal RNA". It matches the Rfam family "Bacterial small subunit ribosomal RNA", at positions 523 to 918 of the family's 1533-position model. The record is from RNAcentral.